This 73-nucleotide transfer RNA is filed under the name Candidatus Woesebacteria bacterium RIFCSPHIGHO2_01_FULL_41_10. RNAcentral's name for it is "tRNA-Gly". It matches the Rfam family "tRNA". Rfam says of the family: Transfer RNA (tRNA) molecules are approximately 80 nucleotides in length. Their secondary structure includes four short double-helical elements and three loops (D, anti-codon, and T loops). Further hydrogen bonds mediate the characteristic L-shaped molecular structure. tRNAs have two regions of fundamental functional importance: the anti-codon, which is responsible for specific mRNA codon recognition, and the 3' end, to which the tRNAs corresponding amino acid is attached (by aminoacyl-tRNA synthetases). tRNAs cope with the degeneracy of the genetic code in two manners: having more than one tRNA (with a specific anti-codon) for a particular amino acid; and 'wobble' base-pairing, i.e. permitting non-standard base-pairing at the 3rd anti-codon position. Lineage: Bacteria; Candidatus Woeseibacteriota. The record is from RNAcentral.
GCGGCGGUAGCUCAGUUGGCAGAGCGUCUGCUUCCCAAGCAGAAGGUCGCCGGUUCGAACCCGGUUCGCCGCU